This 533-nucleotide long non-coding RNA is filed under the name Rattus norvegicus (Norway rat). RNAcentral describes it as "long non-coding RNA NONRATT010178". The record is from RNAcentral. Lineage: Eukaryota; Metazoa; Chordata; Mammalia; Rodentia; Muridae.
UCUUUAGAUAAGAGGACCCAACAUUCUUAUCCCACAAAGUUCUCUGGUAUAAAUUGCCUAACUCUGUGCCUGGCUUUGAUUAUUUUGAUAAUAUUUUGUUUUCAUAUCAGUAACUUAGAAGGCAUUGCCCUGCCCUGUUCCAUACCUUUACCCUAUGUCCUCUUAUGCCGUCAAGCCAUGUAUACCUCUUGAUGUAUUAUUAUCUUGCCUUUUCCUCCUGUGGUAUUCUCGGGAUCAUUAUGUGUGCAUCUUAUCUAACAAGGUUUCCAUGUGCAGUAGUGACAGGUUCGUCCUUGUUUCACGACAGAGCCAGUGUGGAGGUAGUAGACAGAGGUCUGUUCAGGAGAGCCAGCCAGUGCAUUCUCCUUGCCUUUAUACUUUGUUCUUAGAGUACUGUCCCGUCCCCAGCAGAUUCCACUUCUCUCUUGACCAGAAUGGACUCAGGAUAUUGACUUCAGAGGCCACAUUCAGAAUAUAAUUUGUCCCAUCCUGCUUCCCAAACCAUCCCUGCCUUACCUCCUUCCCAAACAAAA